CCGACACCGCCGUGCGUCGCCGCAUGUCCUCCACUGCCUCUCUCUCUCUCUCCUUUCUGCCGGUGCCGCUGAGCUCGAGCUCGAGCUCAAUGGUGAGAGGCUCAGUACGUCGACAACGAGUCGGUCGAUCCAACAUUCAAUCGGCUGCCGUGCAGCGAUCGGAUCUGGCGAAGGGAGGAGGAGCGCACGGCGGUGUCGACUUGAAGUAGGUUGCUGGCGGCGUCCCCAGCGUGGUGGUGUAGGCCGAUGGGCCCAGGAGGCGAACGCCUCGAGCUUGCGAGAAGAUGGCGUCGGCACGGAGUUCUCGAAGGCGAGGAGUCGGUCUGGCGGCGCAUGACUUGAUUUUCGAGUGAUGUGGGGGCUCCAUGAGCAGUGGCAAGCUCCUGUUUUUUCUGGUCAUCAGAGGGAGGAGGAGUUGUCUCCAUCGCCUAGCCGUUCUCUGGAUGCAUCAAGCUUGCCCUCAUCGCAUCACGCCAUCGUCCACUGGUAUUUGAUUUUCAUUUCUAUUCCCCACCAAGAUUUGAGGUGUUGUUUUGUGUGAUGCCCUGCCUACAAGGUGUUCGUUGUUUUUCCUACAAGCAUGGUGAUGUGGCGAUCUUAAAGCUAUCAGUUACGCCUGCAUGACCUGUAAUGUAAGCCCGAAUGAUUUGUUAGGAUUUAGAUUUGGAUCCUACUUUCCACUUAAUUUGCUCUAAACAUUUGAAACUACCUUAAUAUUAGCAGUUAGAUCGAUAUUCAUAAUACAAGGGAAGAGUUAAAAUUGCUAAUGAAAUGCAUCAUUGAAAAUAUUCAUUUGUAGUUAGUUCUAUAGAUGUAUGCAUUUCAUAUAUAAUGAUUGCUGACAACUGCUUUUUUGGCUAGAAUAUUUAUGUGACUAUCUACCUCAAUAGCUAAAGAACUUCUCAAAUUGCAAUCAGUCGUCGCUUGUCCCUGUGAUUCAUAAAUCAGUAUGGUCCCUGAGAUUCCUGAUUGAGUUUUCAAGGAAAACACCAGCAUUAAGUGGCCAAUACUGUGCAAAUAAUUCUAUAAUGUGUGACGCCCAAUCUGGUUUUAGAAAAUUGCCCUUUGUGUGUUCUGUAGAUGAAGAGUUCUAGAAUCUACAACCAGAUAAAUUUAAUUCCUAUAAUCACAUUGUAACCACAUCAGGCAUGGUCUGCCAUAAUGAAGAGGUUUUUUACUGCAUUCCUUUAGCUCAUUUUUUUUAGAUAAUGGAAUAUAAUAUCCCGGCCUUUGCUCAAAAAGAACUACAGCCAAUUAUUACAAAGAUCCACUCCAGAAGAGUCAGUUGUAAUAGAGCAGAAGCAAUGUUCCUCUGAAAAUAAUAGGGUACUUUUAUUUUCUAGAUGCUACUAUGCCAUUAUUAGUUCUAGCUAUGAUCUUCCAGCUCUAGCUUAAUGAUAAGUAAAUAAAGCCAUACAGCCCCAUAUUAAAUCAUUGAUAAUUAACUAAUACAUCCAAAUUGAAAGAAUAGUCACUAAUUCAAUAUUCUUGCAGGUAACCUCUCAUUUAUUGCACGUUUGGAUGCAACAUUUAGGUGGCAAGGAGAUUAUACAUUGGCGAUAGCAUGGAGCAACAGGCAGAAAUGCCAUUCUUUGUUCAUUUUAUUUUUCCUUUUUUUUAGUUUGAUUAGAUUAUGGUGCUUAAGGAGCUGGAUUUGCUGUUAAAUCUUAAAUGAUUUAAACAGCGGGCCAUGGGUUCACUAUUGGCUAGAGGUGUUCAGAUCAUUUAAUUCUUACAUGGCAUUUCUUUUGGGUCCUGCAUCUAUAAUCCUGGUUGUCUUUCUGAAUUGAGAUAAUACAAAGCAUGAGCCUAUAUGGCUCUUUCUGAUCACGAAA
Oryza sativa Japonica Group (Japanese rice) is the source of this 1835-nucleotide non-coding RNA. The record is from RefSeq and is a predicted model, not a curated record. Lineage: Eukaryota; Viridiplantae; Streptophyta; Magnoliopsida; Poales; Poaceae.